This 253-nucleotide ribosomal RNA is filed under the name uncultured bacterium. Its description in RNAcentral is "partial 16S ribosomal RNA". It matches the Rfam family "Bacterial small subunit ribosomal RNA", at positions 524 to 776 of the family's 1533-position model. The record is from RNAcentral.
UACGAAGGGUGCAAACGUUGCUCGGAAUUAUUGGGCGUAAAGCGCACGUAGGCGGCAUUGCAAGUCGGAUGUGAAAUCCCUCGGCUUAACCAAGGAAGUGCAUCCGAAACUGCAGUGCUUGAGUACUUAAGAGGAUCGCGGAAUUCCCGGUGUAGAGGUGAAAUUCGUAGAUAUCGGGAGGAACACCAGAGGCGAAGGCGGCGCACUGGACCACUUCUGACGCUGAUGCACGAAAGCUAGGGGAGCAAACAGG